RNAcentral lists this ribosomal RNA (789 nucleotides) under uncultured bacterium. RNAcentral's name for it is "bacterial SSU rRNA". It matches the Rfam family "Bacterial small subunit ribosomal RNA", at positions 8 to 794 of the family's 1533-position model. The record is from RNAcentral.
AGAGUUCGAUCCUGGCUCAGGACGAACGCUGGCGGCGUGCCUAACACAUGCAAGUCGAACGGAACUGUUUUGAAAGAUUUCUUCAGAAUGAAUUUGAUUUAGUUUAGUGGCGGACGGGUGAGUAACGCGUGAGUAACCUGCCUUCAAGAGGGGGAUAACAUUCUGAAAAGAGUGCUAAUACCGCAUGACAUAUCGGAACCACAUGGUCUUGAUAUCAAAGAUUUUAUCGCUUGAAGAUGGACUCGCGUCCGAUUAGUUAGUUGGUGAGGUAACGGCUCACCAAGACCGCGAUCGGUAGCCGGACUGAGAGGUUGAACGGCCACAUUGGGACUGAGACACGGCCCAGACUCCCACGGGAGGCAGCAGUGGGGGAUAUUGCGCAAUGGGGGCAACCCUGACGCAGCAACGCCGCGUGAAGGAUGAAGGUUUUCGGAUUGUAAACUUCUUUUAUUAAGGACGAAAAUUGACGGUACUUAAUGAAUAAGCUCCGGCUAACUACGUGCCAGCAGCCGCGGUAAUACGUAGGGAGCAAGCGUUGUCCGGAUUUACUGGGUGUAAAGGGUGCGUAGGCGGCUUUGCAAGUCAGAUGUGAAAUCUAUGGGCUCAACCCAUAAACUGCAUUUGAAACUGUAGAGCUUGAGUGAAGUAGAGGCAGGCGGAAUUCCCCGUGUAGCGGUGAAAUGCGUAGAGAUGGGGAGGAACACCAGUGGCGAAGGCGGCCUGCUGGGCUUUAACUGACGCUGAGGCACGAAAGCGUGGGUAGCAAACAGGAUUAGAUACCCUGGUAGU